AAGACACAAUGAUGAUCACAUAGUUCAGCUGAUGGAACAGUGAUGAAUACGCUUGUCUUUCGCUCCUAUCUGAUGUGUCGA
Small nucleolar RNA from Bufo bufo (common toad), 81 nucleotides. RefSeq annotates it as small nucleolar RNA snR60/Z15/Z230/Z193/J17. The transcript has a single exon. The record is from RefSeq and is a predicted model, not a curated record. NCBI's taxonomy places the organism in Eukaryota, Metazoa, Chordata, Amphibia, Anura, Bufonidae.